AUUGAACGCUGGCGGCAGGCUUAACACAUGCAAGUCGAGCGGAGAUGAGGUGCUUGCACCUUAUCUUAGCGGCGGACGGGUGAGUAAUACUUAGGAAUCUGCCUAUUAGUGGGGGACAACAUCUCGAAAGGGAUGCUAAUACCGCAUACGCCCUACGGGGGAAAGCAGGGGAUCACUUGUGACCUUGCGCUAAUAGAUGAGCCUAAGUCAGAUUAGCUAGUUGGUGGGGUAAAGGCCUACCAAGGCGACGAUCUGUAACGGGUCUGAGAGGAUGAUCCGUCACACUGGGACUGAGACACGGCCCAGACUCCUACGGGAGGCAGCAGUGGGGAAUAUUGGACAAUGGGGGGAACCCUGAUCCAGCCAUGCCGCGUGUGUGAAGAAGGCCUUUUGGUUGUAAAGCACUUUAAGCGAGGAGGAGGCUACUUAGACUAAUACUCUAGGAGAGUGGACGUUACUCGCAGAAUAAGCACCGGCUAACUCUGUGCCAGCAGCCGCGGUAAUACAGAGGGUGCAAGCGUUAAUCGGAUUUACUGGGCGUAAAGGGUACGUAGGUGGUCUUUUAAGUCGGAUGUGAAAUCCCUGAGCUUAACUUAGGAAUUGCAUUCGAUACUGAGAGACUAGAGUAUGGGAGAGGAUGGU
This 642-nucleotide ribosomal RNA is filed under the name uncultured Acinetobacter sp. Its description in RNAcentral is "bacterial SSU rRNA". It matches the Rfam family "Bacterial small subunit ribosomal RNA", at positions 28 to 662 of the family's 1533-position model. Lineage: Bacteria; Pseudomonadati; Pseudomonadota; Gammaproteobacteria; Moraxellales; Moraxellaceae. The record is from RNAcentral.